CGGCACGGGUGAGUAACGCGUAUGCAACUUACCUAUCAGAGGGGGAUAACCCGGCGAAAGUCGGACUAAUACCGCAUGAAGCAGGGGCCCCGCAUGGGGAUAUUUGCUAAAGAUUCAUCGCUGAUAGAUAGGCAUGCGUUCCAUUAGGCAGUUGGCGGGGUAACGGCCCACCAAACCGACGAUGGAUAGGGGUUCUGAGAGGAAGGUCCCCCACAUUGGUACUGAGACACGGACCAA
Molecule: ribosomal RNA, 237 nt
Filed under: uncultured bacterium
Lineage: Bacteria
Description: partial 16S ribosomal RNA
Rfam family: Bacterial small subunit ribosomal RNA
Source: RNAcentral